UCAUAGUGCUCUCCCUUGAGAUGGAUGCCUUCAUUUUCAACGGUGAAGAAUAUAAGAAGCCACUUUGUUAAAUAAAAAAUUUUAGCUCUUCUGCAGUAUAGCUGCACUUGAAACAUAUAUGUUUCAGGGAAGACCCAAAACACCACUAUCAGCUGAAAGUGCCUUGAAUGAAAAGAGACUCAGUUAUACCUCGCCUCUGAGAGAAUUCUACUUCCUGAGACAACAACUCUUUGCAAGAUUCUGGUUGGAUGAGUGUCAGAUCUUUCCUUUGUAAAGGUGAGAUGGGCAGCAGAGAAAGGAGAAGGAGCAGGUAGCAGCAUUGCAGAAGUCUUCCUGUGUUGAUCAGAUUUGGGAACAUUGAAAAUCUGCUAUAGUUUUAUUUCCUUAAAGCUCUCAAUAUCAGUGUUUCUUUUGGGAAAUUUUGGUGUGUACUUCCAUUACCAUUUGAAUAACACCAUUCUAGUUUAUUUCAGUGAAACAGUAAAUUGGCCACUCUGAGUGAAAAUACCAGUGAUAGACAUUUACAAAUGCUACUGAAUUUUAACUUUUAGGUUCUUUAUAUAUAAUCAUGCAAUUCUUCCAUGAAUUAGGAUUGCAACAGAUUGCAAAAUCUCUAGGUAUAUCAUUUGUCCUAAAAUAAAUCUUUAAAAGCAGUUAAUUAUCUAUCAUUCUACCCUGGGUUAAAAUAAAAAUACACUUUCUAGGUCAAUCUUCAUUAAGCUAUUAAUAUCUUUUUCAUUUAUAAGACUUUCAAUUUCCUUUAUUAGCAACUGCAGGUGGCUUAAACAUGAUUGUCAUUGUUUUGAAUAUUAACUGACAUUUGAAUUUUUUGGUGAUUUUGCACUGCCUACAUCCUGACAAACACAGGCACAUGAAAUUUCCCAACAUAUCUGUAUCUACUGAACUGUAUUUAUUUUUUACUUUUCUUCUGGUCAUGGAUAUGUCUGUUUUUUAUGAUUUCUAGCACAAUUCAAGAAUUGUCAUAGGGACACUCAGUAGUAUAUUUAGAAAAACCUGAAUUUUUUCCUGCUUUAUUUUCAUGAAAAUAAAAAUCUUUUCAGUGUAAAUAAAUGAGAAUUCAAUUUACUGAGUUCAGAGGGAGCAUCUGAAUUUUGAGUUCAUCAAUUAUAUAUAGUUCCUUAAAAACGAUAUUUACAACAUGUAUACUCAGAAAAAUGAGAAAUUAUAUCCCAUCUAUGUGUGAUAUAUCAAAGUGCAUAAAUUAUACCCCAUCUAUGUGUGAUAUAUCAAAGUGCAUUAUUCUACUGCCAUGUAUAACUAAUUAAAACAAAUUAAAAAUUAAUUUAAAAACCC
Molecule: long non-coding RNA, 1314 nt
Filed under: Marmota monax (woodchuck)
Lineage: Eukaryota; Metazoa; Chordata; Mammalia; Rodentia; Sciuridae
Source: RNAcentral